RNAcentral lists this transfer RNA (84 nucleotides) under Monimopetalum chinense. RNAcentral describes it as "tRNA-Tyr". Lineage: Eukaryota; Viridiplantae; Streptophyta; Magnoliopsida; Celastrales; Celastraceae. The record is from RNAcentral.
ACAUAAAUUGAUCUCUCCUUUUUCUGUAAAAAGGGGACAACUAGUAUAAUUUCAUUCCCAAGUGAUCCUUCUUAAUUUUUAGAU